RNAcentral lists this long non-coding RNA (1354 nucleotides) under Homo sapiens (human). RNAcentral's name for it is "HSALNT0405251". Lineage: Eukaryota; Metazoa; Chordata; Mammalia; Primates; Hominidae. The record is from RNAcentral.
ACUAGCGCUCUGCGCGCGCCGCAGGCUGUAGCCGGCCGGGGUCGCAGCACGCCUCCCCGCUCCGCCCCCUCGCGCGCCGCCCGGCGCCCCGCGCACGCGCGCCGCCCCCUGCUCCUUCAGCGAGGGUCUGCGGGGAGCGCGCGUCCAACGGUCAGCGCCCCUCAGUGCACAGUCCCAGCGGCCUCGCUGGGCCGGCGCCUCCCGACCAAGUCUCUACGGUCGCCCUCCCCUCGGGGUGGCCACGAGGGACUCCUCCUCCUCUUCCUCCUCCCCUCCCUCCCCCUCGGUCUCCGCCUCCUCCUUCUCCUCCUCCUUCACUGCCCCGACCUCCCGCCCCAGGUUCCACGCGCUCUGAUGCCCGCCCCGCUCACCCAGAGAAGCCCUGGGCCAGACGUCCACAACCCAAGGGGUUAUGGGGAGGCCUCUGCUCCCUGGACACAGUAGUUCUCAAACUGGACAGUGUCAAUCAGCAUCCUCCGGGAGGUCUGGGGUGGCCCCGGAAAUACAUGUGUCCCACCUAUCCCAGCAGGUAAUGAUGAAACUCCUGCUCUGGUCCGGGCUACCGGUGAACAGCGCCCAGCGGGCCGGGCCCCCAACCUCGCUCCUGAGCCUGAACAUCCCCCCAACCCCACCGUGAGAAUUCAGCGAAGAGUAAAAGCUGGAAAAAGUUGCGUGUCUUAGGCUAAGCAGAACAAAGUGGGGUGACGGCUCCCCGGCUAGGAACAGAGAUGCCCUUAGGGAGCCCUCUGAUGGAAGAGCUCUCCGCUUAAGAAGGUCACCACUCCCUUACACUCAGCCCCCCUCAAUCUGAUUCCCUGCUAUGCCUGCCAUCACCACUGGCCAGUUUUACCACAUGCUUCUCAAGACCCAAGGCACAAUAGGCAUAAAGUUGUCCUGAAAAGGACAAGAGGAGUGUCAGAAGUAGGAAUGGCAGUUGAAGGAGCUUCGUCUGCCAGCAGAAAGCUGAAAUGACAGGAGAUGUUGCUGAGAUGGGUGCAUUAAAGUUUAGGCUUUCCAGAGUUUAUAUUGCUAACAACUUGAAAGGAAAAAAGCUAACUAGAGAACUGACUGGUCUUAUUUGUUUUAGAUUCUGGGCUUUACUAAGACUUCCUACUCUCAGAAUCUCUGGACUAUAAACGCUGGGUGGGGUGGGAGCUGGGAAUGUUAUUCUGGAAAAUUAAUCACAAAUGAAAAGAAAAUCAACUCUAAGACUCCAGUUAGAAGAUUUUUGAAAAUGGCAGAACAUGACUGGCCUUCAUUCAAGUCAGAAUAUUUAAAGCAAUCCUUGCUAAGAAGAACUUGAUUUUGUAUAAGCAGUCCCUUAAAUACAGUUGCUUCUCAAGAAAACCACACA